Molecule: ribosomal RNA, 450 nt
Filed under: uncultured bacterium
Lineage: Bacteria
Description: partial 16S ribosomal RNA
Rfam family: Bacterial small subunit ribosomal RNA
Source: RNAcentral
GUGGGGAAUCUUCCGCAAUGGACGAAAGUCUGACGGAGCAACGCCGCGUGAGUGAAGAAGGUUUUCGGAUCGUAAAGCUCUUUCGUUAGGGACGAACGUGCUCUUUGUGAAUAAUGAGGAGUAAUGACGGUACCUAAAUAAGAAGCCACGGCUAACUACGUGCCAGCAGCCGCGGUAAUACGUAGGUGGCAAGCGUUGUCCGGAAUUAUUGGGCGUAAAGCGCGCGCAGGCGGGAUAUCAAGUCUGUCUUAAAAGUGCGAGGCUCAACCUCGUGAGGGGACAGAAACUGGUAUUCUUGAGUGUCGGAGAGGAAAGUGGAAUUCCAAGUGUAGCGGUGAAAUGCGUAGAGAUUUGGAAGAACACCAAUGGCGAAGGCGACUUUCUGGACGAUGUCUGACGCUGAGGCGCGAAAGCUAGGGGAGCGAACGGGAUUAGAAACCCCGGUAGUCC